This 448-nucleotide ribosomal RNA is filed under the name uncultured bacterium. RNAcentral describes it as "partial 16S ribosomal RNA". It matches the Rfam family "Bacterial small subunit ribosomal RNA", at positions 329 to 793 of the family's 1533-position model. The record is from RNAcentral.
AUCCAGACUCCUACGGGAGGCAGCAGUGGGGAAUAUUGCACAAUGGGGGAAACCCUGAUGCAGCGACGCCGCGUGAGCGAUGAAGUAUUUCGGUAUGUAAAGCUCUAUCAGCAGGGAAGAAAAUGACGGUACCUGACUAAGAAGCCCUGGCUAACUACGUGCCAGCAGCCGCGGUAAUACGUAGGGGGCAAGCGUUAUCCGGAUUUACUGGGUGUAAAGGGGGCGCAGACGGCGAUGCAAGCCAGGAGUGAAAGCCCGGGGCCCAACCCCGGGACUGCUCUUGGAACUGCGCGGCUGGAGUGCAGGAGGGGCAGGCGGAAUUCCUGGUGUAGCGGUGAAAUGCGUAGAUAUCAGGAGGAACACCGGUGGCGAAGGCGGCCUGCUGGACGAUGACUGACGCUGAGGCUCGAAAGCGUGGGGAGCAAACAGGAUUAGAUACCCUCGUAAG